Molecule: ribosomal RNA, 496 nt
Filed under: uncultured bacterium
Lineage: Bacteria
Description: partial 16S ribosomal RNA
Rfam family: Bacterial small subunit ribosomal RNA
Source: RNAcentral
AUGAACGCUGGCGGCGUGCCUAAUACAUGCAAGUCGAGCGAACGGACGAGAAGCUUGCUUCUCUGAUGUUAGCGGCGGACGGGUGAGUAAUACGUGGAUAACCUACCUAUAAGACUGGGAUAACUUCGGGAAACCGUAGCUAAUACCGGAUAAUAUUUUGAACCGCAUGGUUCAAAAGUGAAAGACGGUCUUGCUGUCACUUAUAGAUGGAUCCGCGCUGCAUUAGCUAGUUGGUAAGGUAACGGCUUACCAAGGCAACGAUGCAUAGCCGACCUGAGAGGGUGAUCGGCCACACUGGAACUGAGACACGGUCCAGACUCCUACGGGAGGCAGCAGUAGGGAAUCUUCCGCAAUGGGCGAAAGCCUGACGGAGCAACGCCGCGUGAGUGAUGAAGGUCUUCGGAUCGUAAAACUCUGUUAUUAGGGAAGAACAUAUGUGUAAGUAACUGUGCACAUCUUGACGGUACCUAAUCAGAAAGCCACGGCUAACUACGUG